This is a non-coding RNA of Otolemur garnettii (small-eared galago), 225 nucleotides long. NCBI's taxonomy places the organism in Eukaryota, Metazoa, Chordata, Mammalia, Primates, Galagidae. The record is from Rfam.
GCUUUGGAAGAAACUCUAAAGUCAAAGUGGAAAGGUUGGGUUGUGAACAUUAAAAAUGAACAAGAAACUCAAGCAAGAGGUUCUGUGACAGUAGACUAAGUAUGCAGUUAUUUUUUAAGGAACACGAAUUAAGCAUUCCAUCUGUGGAAAAUGUGUACUUUCUCACUGCGUUAUGUCGCUCUUCAAGAAAAAGGCUGGAUGAAACACCACCCAAACUGAAACUGG